AGUUAAUGAACUUGAUAUAAGUAUAUGUUUUGAAAGCAUAAUAAAGGAGUAAAAUCUUCUAUUAACUU
This 68-nucleotide transfer RNA is filed under the name Cicindela campestris. Its description in RNAcentral is "tRNA-Ser". Lineage: Eukaryota; Metazoa; Arthropoda; Insecta; Coleoptera; Carabidae. The record is from RNAcentral.